GGGUAUGGCCUUACCACUCUGAAUGCACCUGAUCUCCUCUGAUUGCUGAAGCUUACAGGUUGGGCCUGGUUAGUAUUUGCAUGGGAAACCACUUGGGAAUUCCAGGUGCUGUAGCCU
Molecule: ribosomal RNA, 117 nt
Filed under: Balearica regulorum gibbericeps (East African grey crowned-crane)
Lineage: Eukaryota; Metazoa; Chordata; Aves; Gruiformes; Gruidae
Source: RNAcentral